RNAcentral lists this ribosomal RNA (238 nucleotides) under Auriculariales sp. Its description in RNAcentral is "partial large subunit ribosomal RNA". Lineage: Eukaryota; Fungi; Basidiomycota; Agaricomycetes; Auriculariales. The record is from RNAcentral.
AAACGCUUGAAGUCAGUCGCGUCCGCCGGGACUCAGCCUUGCUUUUGCUUGGUGCACUUCUCGGUGGAUGGGCCAGCAUCGAUUUCGAUCGCAGGAAAAGGGCGGGAGGAAUGUGGCAGCUUGCUGUGUUAUAGCCUCUCGUCGUACACUGUGAUUGGGAUCGAGGAUUGCAGCACGCCUUUGGUCGGGGUUCGCCCACGCCACGUGCUUAGGAUGCUGGCGUAAUGGCUUUAAACGA